UGGGGGAUAUUGCGCAAUGGGGGCAACCCUGACGCAGCAACGCCGCGUGAAGGAUGAAGGUUUUCGGAUUGUAAACUUCUUUUAUUAAGGACGAAAAUUGACGGUACUUAAUGAAUAAGCUCCGGCUAACUACGUGCCAGCAGCCGCGGUAAUACGUAGGGAGCAAGCGUUGUCCGGAUUUACUGGGUGUAAAGGGUGCGUAGGCGGCUUUGCAAGUCAGAUGUGAAAUCUAUGGGCUCAACCCAUAAACUGCAUUUGAAACUGUAGAGCUUGAGUGAAGUAGAGGCAGGCGGAAUUCCCGGUGUAGCGGUGGAAUGCGUAGAUAUCGGGAGGAACACCAGUGGCGAAGGCGGCCUACUGGGCACCAACUGACGCUGAGGCUCGAAAGUGUGGGUAGCAAACAGGAUUAGAUACCCUGGUAGUCCACGCUGUAAACGAUGAUUACUAGGUGUGGGGGGUCUGACCCCUUCCGUGCCGGAGUUAACACAAUAAGUAAUCCACCUGGGGAGUACGACCGCAAGGUUGAAACUCAAAGGAAUUGACGGGGGCCCGCACAAGCAGUGGAGUAUGUGGUUUAAUUCGAAGCAACGCGAAGAACCUUACCAGGUCUUGACAUCGAGUGACGAAUCUAGAGAUAGAUUUUUCCUUCGGGACACAAAGACAGGUGGUGCAUGGUUGUCGUCAGCUCGUGUCGUGAGAUGUUGGGUUAAGUCCCGCAACGAGCGCAACCCUUGCUAUUAGUUGCUACGCAAGAGCACUCUAAUAGGACUGCCGUUGACAAAACGGAGGAAGGUGGGGACGACGUCAAAUCAUCAUGCCCCUUAUGACCUGGGCUACACACGUACUACAAUGGAUGUAAACAGAGGGAAGCAAAAUAGCGAUAUGGAGCAAACCCCAAAAAGCAUUCUCAGUUCAGAUUGCAGGCUGCAACUCGCCUGUAUGAAGUUGGAAUUGCUAGUAAUCGCGGAUCAGCAUGCCGCGGUGAAUACGUUCCC
Molecule: ribosomal RNA, 995 nt
Filed under: uncultured bacterium
Lineage: Bacteria
Description: bacterial SSU rRNA
Rfam family: Bacterial small subunit ribosomal RNA
Source: RNAcentral